Molecule: long non-coding RNA, 984 nt
Filed under: Rattus norvegicus (Norway rat)
Lineage: Eukaryota; Metazoa; Chordata; Mammalia; Rodentia; Muridae
Description: long non-coding RNA NONRATT001617
Source: RNAcentral
GAGAGAGAGAGAGAGAGAGAGAGAGAGAGAGAGAGAGAGAAGAGGGGUGUGGGGGACGGAGAACCACUUGUGAACAGGAACAUUGAAAUUAUUCAUGUGCUUGAGAUAAUGGAAGUUAUUGAUAAUCAAGAAUUAUAUGUAAAAAAUGUUGAGGACUGUAGGUAAAAACACACAUGUCCACGCUCAUGUGUGUACAUGUGUAUACACUCUGUGUAUGCAAACAGUUCUGCUCAGGUAAAGCCUUAGAAUUAGAUUCUGACAUCUAAGAAGGUAAAGAAGGCAGGGGCUGAGGGGUGGCUCAGCAGCCAAGACCUCACUGAGCUCGAUUCCCAACACCAGCGCAGGACAGACCACAGCCAUCUGUAGUUCCAGCCCAACGGGAUCCCUCUCUGCACAGAGACACUCGUGUGCACACAUCCUACAGACUUAAGCAUGUACGUGCAACUAGAAGUCAAAUGUUAAAAUCCUGAAGACGGUGGAACCCUGGCCACGAUCAGAAUAAGGUGAGAAAUGCAGAGGUAGCUGUCUGGGUUCUUGUUUUCCUUUUCAACCCGUGCAGUAAAAACACCUUCACAUACACACAGGGGCAUGUAUAGCACUUCUCUGAUUAUUAAGUGAGAGAACACUGAAGAAAUCAGGGUACCCUAUUCAUGAUUAGAAAAUACAGACACUAUUUUUCCAUUGUGGAUCUAUAGAUUCAAUACUGUGUCAACUCCAGUGGUUUUCUUUCACAGACAUUGGCAGGUUAUAUGGAAACGUGGGUGUGUUCACUAUCUUGUGGUAUUGCUUUCACAGAUAUAUUUGUAAAGGCUUAUUAACUGUGGUAUAUAUGUUUGGUUUCAUUUAUCAUAUGUCAAUUGUACUGUAAAGCUGGUAAAAAAAUAAUAUAAAUAUUCUAUUGAUAAUAGUUUGUAAAAUGGGUACUAAAUAAUGAUGUUUACAAAAGUAUAUAUAGCAAUAAAAAGAAUUUAGUAUAGUUGUAAC